RNAcentral lists this ribosomal RNA (253 nucleotides) under uncultured bacterium. Its description in RNAcentral is "partial 16S ribosomal RNA". It matches the Rfam family "Bacterial small subunit ribosomal RNA", at positions 524 to 776 of the family's 1533-position model. The record is from RNAcentral.
UACGUAGGGGGCAAGCGUUGUCCGGAAUCAUUGGGCGUAAAGCGCGUGUAGGCGGCUAGGUAAGUCUGCUCUGAAAGCCCGGGGCUCAACCCCGGGAGGCGGGUGGAUACUGUCUAGCUCGAGUCCGGAAGAGGAGUGUGGAAUUCCUGGUGUGGCGGUGAAAUGCGCAGAUAUCAGGAGGAACACCAAUGGCGAAGGCAGCACUCUGGGACGUGACUGACGCUGAGACGCGAAAGCGUGGGGAGCAAACAGG